UACAGAGGCCUCGAGCGUUAGGCGGAAUCACUGGGCUUAAAGCGUGUGUAGGUGGAGUUCUAAGUACCUUGUGAAAUCCUACGGCUCAACCGUGGAACUGCUGGGUAUACUGGUUCUCUUGAGGUACCUAGGGGCGAGCGGAACAAGUGGUGGAGCGGUGAAAUGCGUAGAUAUCACUUGGAACGCCAACGGUGAAAACAGCUCGCUGGGGGUAUCCUGACACUGAGACACGAAAGCCAGGGGAGCAAACGGG
This 253-nucleotide ribosomal RNA is filed under the name uncultured bacterium. Its description in RNAcentral is "partial 16S ribosomal RNA". It matches the Rfam family "Bacterial small subunit ribosomal RNA", at positions 524 to 776 of the family's 1533-position model. The record is from RNAcentral.